This 254-nucleotide unclassified non-coding RNA is filed under the name Hevea brasiliensis (rubber tree). The record is from RNAcentral. Lineage: Eukaryota; Viridiplantae; Streptophyta; Magnoliopsida; Malpighiales; Euphorbiaceae.
AGAUUAAAGCUGGUGAUGAUGUGGUAAGUAGCAAUACUAUCGUCAUUGAAUCUUUAAAUGCUGAUUGUACAGUACAGAAUCAUUAUUUUGGAUUUAAUGGUAGUCCAAUAAUGUUUGUGAGAUAUGCAUUGUGGUAAUCUUGUCCUUCCCAAAGGAAGCAGUAACUUGUCUGCCAGGUCUUUAAUGUUUAUCUUUUCAGCUGCUUGUUUUCCUUUACAUGUGCCUUUAUUUUUAUUUAUCCUUUUGCAAUCGCC